GACGAACGCUGGCGGCGGGCUUAACACAUGCAAGUCGAGCGGAAAGGCCCUGCUAUUGUGGGUUUCUCGAGUGGCGAACGGGUGCGUAACAGGGUAACAACCUUCCCUCGACUUUGGGACAACUUCAGGAAACUGGGGAUAAUACCGGAUAGCAGCUCCUGCUGCAUGGAGGGGGUUGGAAAGUGUCGGCGGUUGGGGAUGUACUCGCGGGUGAUCAGUUUGAUGGUGGGGUAGUGGCUUACCAAGGCUUUGACGGGUAGCCGGCCUGAGAGGGUGACCGGCCACAUUGGGACUGAGAUACGGCCCAGACUCCUACGGGAGGCAGCAGUGGGGAAUAUUGCACAAUGGGCGGAAGCCUGAUGCAGCAACGCCGCGUGCGGGAUGACGGCCUUCGGGUUGUAAACCGCUUUCGCCUGUGACGAAGCGUGAGUGACGGUAAUGGGUAAAGAAGCACCGGCUAACUACGUG
This 468-nucleotide ribosomal RNA is filed under the name uncultured bacterium. Its description in RNAcentral is "partial 16S ribosomal RNA". It matches the Rfam family "Bacterial small subunit ribosomal RNA", at positions 28 to 507 of the family's 1533-position model. The record is from RNAcentral.